GACGAACGCUGGCGGCGUGCUUAACACAUGCAAGUCGAACGGAAAGGCUCCAGCUUGCUGGAGUACUCGAGUGGCGAACGGGUGAGUAACACGUGGGUAAUCUGCCCUGCACUCUGGGAUAAGCCUGGGAAACUGGGUCUAAUCCUGGAGAUGAGCUUUCUCCUUAUUGGGUGUGGGGGAAAGUUUUUCGGUUUAGGAUGAGCCCGCGGCCUAUCAGCUUGUUGGGGGGGUGAUGGCCUACCAAGGCGACGACGGGUAGCCGGCCUGAGAGGGUGACCGGCCACAUUGGGACUGAGAUACGGCCCAGACUCCUACGGGAGGCAGCAGUGGGGAAUAUUGCACAAUGGGCGGAAGCCUGAUGCAGCGACGCCGCGUGAGGGAUGACGGCCUUCGGGUUGUAAACCUCUUUCAGCAGGGACGAAGCGUAAGUGACGGUACCUGCAGAAGAAGCACCGGCUAACUACGUG
This 467-nucleotide ribosomal RNA is filed under the name uncultured bacterium. Its description in RNAcentral is "partial 16S ribosomal RNA". It matches the Rfam family "Bacterial small subunit ribosomal RNA", at positions 28 to 507 of the family's 1533-position model. The record is from RNAcentral.